This 253-nucleotide ribosomal RNA is filed under the name uncultured bacterium. RNAcentral describes it as "partial 16S ribosomal RNA". It matches the Rfam family "Bacterial small subunit ribosomal RNA", at positions 524 to 776 of the family's 1533-position model. The record is from RNAcentral.
UACGUAGGGGGCAAGCGUUGUCCGGAUUUAUUGGGCGUAAAGAGCGUGUAGGCGGCCAGGCAGGUCUGCUGUGAAAACUCGUGGCUUAACCUCGAGCUGUCGGCGGAAACCAUCUGGCUAGAGUCCGGAAGAGGAGAAUGGAAUUCCCGGUGUAGCGGUGAAAUGCGCAGAUAUCGGGAAGAACACCCGUGGCGAAGGCGGUUCUCUGGGACGGUACUGACGCUGAGACGCGAAAGCGUGGGGAGCGAACAGG